AAAUUGCAAAAGAUGAGUCCAUAGUUCAUUUGAUAAAGCUAUGAAGAACAAUUUUCGCCCCUAUCUGAUGCACAAG
This is a small nucleolar RNA of Nilaparvata lugens (brown planthopper), 76 nucleotides long. RefSeq annotates it as small nucleolar RNA snR60/Z15/Z230/Z193/J17. The record is from RefSeq and is a predicted model, not a curated record. NCBI's taxonomy places the organism in Eukaryota, Metazoa, Arthropoda, Insecta, Hemiptera, Delphacidae. The transcript has a single exon.